This 103-nucleotide microRNA precursor is filed under the name Marmota monax (woodchuck). The record is from RNAcentral. Lineage: Eukaryota; Metazoa; Chordata; Mammalia; Rodentia; Sciuridae.
AAUGUAAUUGCUGGGACAAAUGGUGGUUCCAUUCCAAGAGUUCUAAGGAAUCUCCAUGCUGCUUUCCAGUGUGGUUGCACCAAUUUGCAGUCCCACCAGGAAU